UACGUAGGUGGCAAGCGUUAUCCGGAUUUAUUGGGUGUAAAGGGCGUGUAGGCGGGAAUGCAAGUCAGAUGUGAAAACUCAGGGCUCAACCCUGAGCCUGCAUUUGAAACUGUAUUUCUUGAGUGCUGGAGAGGCAAUCGGAAUUCCGUGUGUAGCGGUGAAAUGCGUAGAUAUACGGAGGAACACCAGUGGCGAAGGCGGGUUGCUGGACAGUAACUGACGCUGAGGCGCGAAAGCGUGGGGAGCAAACAGG
RNAcentral lists this ribosomal RNA (253 nucleotides) under uncultured bacterium. Its description in RNAcentral is "partial 16S ribosomal RNA". It matches the Rfam family "Bacterial small subunit ribosomal RNA", at positions 524 to 776 of the family's 1533-position model. The record is from RNAcentral.